GGGGCAUUAGCUCAGCUGGUAGAGCGCUGCCUUUGCAAGGCAGAUGUCAGGAGUUCGAGUCUCCUAUGCUCCA
RNAcentral lists this transfer RNA (73 nucleotides) under Nocardioidaceae bacterium. RNAcentral's name for it is "tRNA-Ala". It matches the Rfam family "tRNA". From Rfam's summary of the family: Transfer RNA (tRNA) molecules are approximately 80 nucleotides in length. Their secondary structure includes four short double-helical elements and three loops (D, anti-codon, and T loops). Lineage: Bacteria; Bacillati; Actinomycetota; Actinomycetes; Propionibacteriales; Nocardioidaceae. The record is from RNAcentral.